This 324-nucleotide ribosomal RNA is filed under the name uncultured eukaryote. RNAcentral's name for it is "partial 18S ribosomal RNA". It matches the Rfam family "Eukaryotic small subunit ribosomal RNA", at positions 1470 to 1796 of the family's 1831-position model. The record is from RNAcentral.
CCCUUAGAUGUUCUGGGCCGCACGCGCGCUACACUGAUGCAUUCAACGAGUUUCUUCCUGGUCCGAGAGGAAUGGGUAACCUUUUGAAAGUGCAUCGUGAUAGGGAUAGACUAUUGCAAUUAUUGGUCUUCAACGAGGAAUUCCUAGUAGACGUAGUUCAUCAGACUGCAUCGAUUACGUCCCUGCCCUUUGUACACACCGCCCGUCUCUCCUACCGAUUGAAUGCUCAGGUGAGCCAUUCGGACUUUCAUCAUGCUGGUUUCCAGUUUUGAUGAAGGAAAGUCUUGCGAACCUUAUCAUUUAGAGGAAGGAGAAGUCGUAACA